AAAGAAUAUAUAUAUAUAUAUAUAUAUAUAUAUAUAUAUAUAUAUAUAUAUAUAUAUAUAUAGUUGAAAUAAGGUGAGUUUCUUUUAAAAACAAGCAAACUAGUCUACAAAAUAUAUAGCUAACUAACUAAAUCAAUGAAUAAAUAAUUAUACAUAAAUAAAUAAAUCAAAAAAUAAAUAAACAUGAUAUUAACAAAUAAAUAAAUAAUAAAUGAAAACAAACCAAUAAUAAAGCAAGUUAAUGUAGCCGUCAAACUGUAACUUGAUUGGCUCGCAAAGCCUGGUAGGGCGUGGCGUGUUGGCCAUUGUUUCGGAGAUUUUAACAGUGCACGAACAGAGAAUCAUACGAUGUACUUCUCCGAUGAAGAGCUGGACCUUUCCCUGGAGGAAACAGUGGAAGUCAAACUGAAGACGUUGGAAACCUUUGCCAUCGAGGAGAUCUCCAAGCUACAGGAGGACACCAGGGUCCUCCAGGAAGCAGCAGAGAAAGCAAUGGAGGGAGACGUGGCUGCCUUGAAGGCAGACCUGGCCUCGCUUAAAACGCUUGUUGCGGACCAAGAGCAACAGCUGCAGGAACUGAGGGAGAGGCUGGAAAGGAACAUUGGGCCUGAAGUCCUAGACAUGCCCUCAACUUCGGGAGAUGACAACAGCGCGCAGAAAAGGAAAAGAGAAGAGGAAGAGCUUGACGUCCACUUGACGGAGUUUUGGCCCGAGAACCCCGAUCCUGAUGACAUAAUGACGCCGAGACAACAGGCGUUUUUCAACUUCAUGAUGGAUCAUCUGACAGUUGUUGACCCAAGUAACCUGGAGAGUGACGCAUCCCUAUUGAAGGCGGAAGGAGUUAGACUGGCUGUGUGGACAGCUCUGUGUGCCAGACAGCUACCUGAGACAAAAGAAGAUUUACAUCAAAGAAAGGCACAAAAUUUUGCAAAACAGGGAACGUAUGAGACUUCAAAAUUUAGGUACAAAAAAAUCGUCAAAGGUUUACAUGUUUUGUGUAUUUGGUGUGAUUGUGUGUUGGGGCGUUCUGAGAGGUCUUGAGUUUUUUUUUUUUUUUUAAUUUAUUUUUUUUUUUUUUAAACAUUUAAAAUAUUUCGAAUUGAGAAAACGACAAGCUGAGGGUGUGUUGUGUUUUUCAGGGGUUCUGAGCAGCACUAGUACACUGAAAAGUGUUUAAUGCUGAACUGUUGCAAACAAUUUACUUGUGUUGAAUUUAAACAAACAAAUUAAACUUAAUAAUGUUCAACUUAAUUUGUCUGUUUAAAUUCGGGCUAAAUUGUUUACAACCACUUAACGUAAAAAAAGUUAAAGGAAUCAUCUUUGAAUAUAAUUUUCAGUGUAAGAAUGAAACUUAAUAAAUAUUUAUAAUUGUUCUAAAUAUUGUCUUUGUAGUUCUUCUUCUUCUCUUUUUCUUUUUAAAUCUCCAUGUAUACUUUAAACACUGGGAUACUAGUCACUGUGAAUGGUUUGGUUACCAUGAUUAACUGGGAACACUGUUGCCAGUUAAUUUGACUGUCCAGUUAACAGAGCGGUCACUAACUGGGAGCUGCUUGCUGUCAUGUACUGUAGUGUUAAUACUGCAAACACAAUUUUGUGUGUAUGUAAUUUUAUUAACAUUUUUAUCAUCAUGCUUUUUCUAUUAAAGUUUCUGUGCACUGCUGAGAGUGGAAUUGAGUAUUUAUUUAUUGUUUUUAAAAUCUGUAUUAAACUACUUUGUUGCCAGAAUGAUGCAUUGUGCAGUUUAGAUGAUCGGUCACACUUUCAUGUUUAGAUUCAGGCAGAGACUCUGUGCAAGUGUGUUUAAUGUCUAAAUCAUGGCUCACCAACCUUUUUCCAUUUAUUUAUUUAUAUAUAUAUAUCUUCGUGAGUUUUUUUUUUUUUUUUUUUUUUUUUAAUAAUAGAUGUGACUUUUUUUUUUUAUAUAUAUAUAUAUAUAUAUAUAUAUAAAUAUAUUGCAUGCCAUUAUCUCUCACACACAAAGUGUAUCUUACUGAAUUUAAAAUAAAACAAUGCCUUGACACUUGCUGUUUUUGUGAUCAGUAAUGCCAGUCGAUGAGCUGCUGGAAAAUGCAACAGUAGAAGUACAUAAAUGUAUCUUCAUGUUAAAUUAAAAUCUUUUCUGUAAUUUGCAAGAUCAAAACAAACAACAACACCACACCCAGAGCAAAUCAGAACGAAGCAACCUUGACCAUUCAUGACACCCAUAGAAGCCUUAGAGAAGCAUCAGAUGCCUUUACAAAAACAGACAUUCCUGCUGCGCAGACAAAGCUGGCUGCUCUAAAGUCGAUCAUUGCAGACCAGAAGCAAAGAAGUUGAGCUGGAUGGCCUCCUGGAGCCAUUUUGACCUGAGCAAUCAGAUCCCAUGGAGAGGGUGAAUCAAAGGCAGCAUAUGUGGAGUGGAGAGUAAGCCUUAUACAGAUGAACCUGUUUGACAACCUAAGAAUUUCUCAAUCAAAGUCAAGAUCACUUGUUAAUAUUAAUAAUAAAAUAAAAACUAAACUCCUGACAGUACAUGGCGUUUUGAUUGUUUAUCUCGUAAAUAUAUAUAUAUCUUUUUAUUUUAGUGUGUGUGUGUGUGUGUUUUGGUUACAUGUGACUUUAGUUGCAAAUAUAGCCAACAUGCAUGCGCACACACACACACACAUACACAAAUCUAAAAAAGUCACAAAUGCAAUCUGCUACUGUGUGAAAAUUUGAUGUUAUUUACAGGUGUGCAGAAAAUUAGCAUUAUCGAUCAGCUUCUGCUCAGGGGAAGUAGGGAUCAUCUGUGGCAGUGUAAUUUGUCUCCACAUAUGCUCAAUUCAAAGAAGCAAUCCUCAAAUCUUUUUUUCAGUUUUCAUUUAUUUUUGCAUGAGGAAACAUCUCAUCCUUCAUCAUAAUGCCUGUGAGUGUCCAGUCAGCAUGCAUCAUUUGAUCAACGUUUCAAAAUAUAUUUUCAAAAAGAAAAUCUUUUCCACAUUAGCUUCAACAGUACAAAAGGAAAAUGCGUCUUUUGGUUUCUUUUUGCACCGUUUGAAUCUAAUUUAGGAAAAGCCAUCAUACUUCCGAUU
This 3050-nucleotide long non-coding RNA is filed under the name Danio rerio (zebrafish). RNAcentral's name for it is "lncRNA (ENSDARG00000117659.1)". The record is from RNAcentral. Lineage: Eukaryota; Metazoa; Chordata; Actinopteri; Cypriniformes; Danionidae.